AACGGUGGAGACUGCAGACCGGGAGACUGAGGCUGUAGAGGGGCUCGCCUGGAUAAAUGUCGCCUCGUCUCUCGCUCUGCUCCACCCUGAUUUUUCCUUAUUACUCCCCCCCCCCCACCACCACCACUGCUUUCUGGAUACCGGGGUCCCAAGUUUGUAACUCAGAGAUCUAAUUCACACCCAUGCAAAAAUGUUUGUUUCAGGCCCCCUUAGUUGAAAGGCUCUGACAUUGUUCGGAAGCCCUCUGUGUGCUAGCCAGACGUUGUUCCAAGCGUUGUCCUGCGUUUAUUUACUGCGCUUGACGACCCUAAAAGUUUUCACAUUCAGGAUCUCAGCAUAUUCUUAGAAGAACUCUCAAGAAGUAGGGGAGGAAAUAUUCAUAUUUACAACACCAUAGACCUGAGUGUGCUGGUUCCCAGCAUUCAAGGAAUGAUGGGGAGAGAGAAAGAACUGACAUCCUGCUUCAGCCAGGUACAGUUGGCUGGGUAUGGGUUCAACUCAGCUGGUGAACUAUGCCUGGUUUUCUAUUAACUGUACUAUUGUUCCCUCACUUGGCAAAUAAUAAGUACACAUGCAAUAAUUUAAAGAGUUCUAAAUUUUAGUUUUCUUAAAGUCAAAGGCAUUAUACUUAAAAUUCUGGCAUUAAAAUUAAAAUAAAAAAUGAAUUCUAAA
Long non-coding RNA from Nycticebus coucang (slow loris), 672 nucleotides. RefSeq lists it as uncharacterized. The transcript is spliced from 3 exons. The record is from RefSeq and is a predicted model, not a curated record. Lineage: Eukaryota; Metazoa; Chordata; Mammalia; Primates; Lorisidae.